Molecule: ribosomal RNA, 431 nt
Filed under: uncultured bacterium
Lineage: Bacteria
Description: partial 16S ribosomal RNA
Rfam family: Bacterial small subunit ribosomal RNA
Source: RNAcentral
AACGAACGCUGGCGGCAGGCUUAACACAUGCAAGUCGAGCGCCUCGCAAGAGGAGCGGCCGACGGGUGAGUAACGCGUGGGAACGUACCCUUAUCUUCGGAAUAGCUCUGGGAAACUGGAAGUAAUACCGAAUGUGCCCUUAGGGGGAAAGAUUUAUCGGAUAAGGAUCGGCCCGCGUUGGAUUAGCUAGUUGGUGGGGUAAAGGCCUACCAAGGCGACGAUCCAUAGCUGGUCUGAGAGGAUGAUCAGCCACAUUGGGACUGAGACACGGCCCAAACUCCUACGGGAGGCAGCAGUGGGGAAUAUUGGACAAUGGGCGCAAGCCUGAUCCAGCCAUGCCGCGUGAGUGAUGAAGGCCUUAGGGUUGUAAAGCUCUUUCACCGGAGAAGAUAAUGACGGUAUCCGGAGAAGAAGCCCCGGCUAACUUCGUG